UUGGUGCAAAAAUGAGCCUUAGUAAAUUUUAAUUUUUUAGAAUUUUUUGAUUUUUUUAAUAUUUUUCACUCUUUUUUUUAUUUAAAGCAUUACUUGAGUGAAAAGAAACACAUUGCAACCAAUUGGCAUUAAAAUAAAUCAAUUUAAUUUUUUUUGCAAAAUUUCCCAAAAAAAACGUAAGGGGUAAGCCUUAUGAAAUUUUCGAGUUGAAAUUUUUUUUUAAUUUUUUUUCUGAUUUUUUAUUAUUUUUUUAAUUUGAAGCAUUAUUUGAGUGAAAAGAAACACAUUGCAACAAAUUGGCAUGAAAAUAUAUCACAUUUAUAAAUUUUGCUAAAUUGCUCGAAAAUGAGGAAAAUUUGACAUUUUCUCAAACAGGGUAAGGAACUUAGUUCCUCGAAUAAUUUCUGGCACAGACAUCUGAGGGCAUGGCCGUCCAAGAAGAAAAUGUAGCCAUUGGUGUCAUCUAUCGACCACAGGUUAAAAAUUGGCGAUCCGUUGAAUACCGACCGAGUUAUAGGCAAAACUUGGUACGAAAAUGAGGAAAAUUUAACAUUUUCUCAAACAGGGUAUGGAACUUGGUUCCUCGAAUAACUUCUGGCACAGACAUCUGAGGGCAUGGCCGUCCAAGAAGAAAAUGUAGCCAUUGGUGCCAUCUAUCGACCACAGUUUAAAGUUUGGCGAUCCGUUGGAUACCGACCGAGUUAUAGGCAAAACUUGGUGCAAAAAUGAGCCUUAGUAAAUUUUAAUUUUUUAGAAUUUUUUGAUUUUUUUAUUAUUUUUCACUCUUUUUUUAUGUAAAGCAUUACUUGAGUGAAAAGAAACACAUUGCAACCAAUUGGCAUUAAAAUAAAUCAAUUUAAUUUUUUUGCAAAAUUUCCCAAAAAAAACGUAAGGGGUAAGCCUUAUGAAAUUUUCGAGUUGAAAAUUUUUUUAAAAUUUUUUUCUGAUUUUUUAUUAUUUUUUUAAUUUGAAGCAUUAUUUGAGUGAAAAGAAACACAUUGCAACAAAUUGACAUGAAAAUAUAUCACAUUUAUAAAUUUUGCUAAAUUGCUCGAAAAUGAGGAAAAUUUGACAUUUUCUCAAACAGGGUAAGGAACUUAGUUCCUCGAAUAACUUCUGGCACAGACAUCUGAGGGCAUGGCCGUCCAAGAAGAAAAUGUAGCCAUUGGUGUCAUCUAUCGACCACAGGUUAAAGAUUGGCGAUCCGUUGAAUACCGACCGAGUUAUAGGCAAAACUUUGUGCGAAAAUGAGGAAAAUUUUACAUUUUCUCAAACAGGGUAAGGAACUUAGUUCCUCGAAUAACUUCUGGCACAGACAUCUGAGGGCAUGGCCGUCCAAGAAGAAAAUGUAGCCAUUGGUGCCAUCUAUCGACCACAGUUUAAAGUUUGGCGAUCCGUUGGAUACCGACCGAGUUAUAGGCAAAACUUGGUGCAAAAAUGAGCCUUAGUAAAUUUUAAUUUUUUAGAAUUUUUUGAUUUUUUUAUUAUUUCUCACUCUUUUUUUAUUUAAAGCAUUACUUGAGUGAAAAGAAACACAUUGCAACCAAUUGGCAUUAAAAUAAAUCAAUUUAAUUUUUUUUGCAAAAUUUCCCACAAAAAAACGUAAGGGGUAAGCCUUAUGAAAUUUUCGAGUUGAAAAUUUUUUUUUAAUUUUUUUCUGAUUUUUUAUUAUUUUUUUAAUUUGAAGCAUUAUUUGAGUGAAAAGAAACACAUUGCAACAAAUUGGCAUGAAAAUAUAUCACAUUUAUAAAUUUUGCUAAAUUGCUCGAAAAUGAGGAAAAUUUGACAUUUUCUCAAACAGGGUAAGGAACUUAGUUCCUCGAAUAACUUCUGGCACAGACAUCUGAGGGCAUGGCCGUCCAAGAAGAAAAUGUAGCCAUUGGUGUCAUUUAUCGACCACAGGUUAAAGAUUGGCGAUCCGUUGGAUACCGACCGAGUUAUAGGCAAAACUUGGUGCGAAAAUGAGGAAAAUUUUACAUUUUCUCAAACAGGGUAUGGAACUUGGUUCCUCGAAUAACUUCUGGCACAGACAUCUGAGGGCAUGGCCGUCCAAGAAGAAAAUGUAGCCAUUGGUGCCAUCUAUCGACCACAGGUUAAAGAUUGGCGAUCCGUUGGAUACCGACCGAGUUAUAGGCAAAACUUGGUGCAAAAAUGAGCCUUAGUAAAUUUUAAUUUUUUAGAAUUUUUUGAUUUUUUUAUUAUUUUUCACUCUUUUUUUAUUUAAAGCAUUACUUGAGUGAAAAGAAACACAUUGCAACCAAUUGGCAUUAAAAUAAAUCAAUUUAAUUUUUUUUGCAAAAUUUCCCAAAAAAAACGUAAGGGGUAAGCCUUAUGAAAUUUUCGAGUUGAAAAUUUUUGUAAAAUUUUUUUCUGAUUUUUUAUUAUUUUUUUAAUUUGAAGCAUUAUUUGAGUGAAAAGAAACACAUUGCAACAAAUUGGCAUGAAAAUAUAUCACAUUUAUAAAUUUUGCUAAAUUGCUCGAAAAUGAGGAAAAUUUGACAUUUUCUCAAACAGGGUAAGGAACUUAGUUCCUCGAAUAACUUCUGGCACAGACAUCUGAGGGCAUGGCCGUCCAAGAAGAAAAUGUAGCCAUUGGUGUCAUCUAUCGACCACAGGUUAAAGAUUGGCGAUCCGUUGGAUACCGACCGAGUUAUAGGCAAAACUUGGUGCGAAAAUGAGGAAAAUUUGACAUUUUCUCAAACAGGGUAUGGAACUUGGUUCCUCGAAUAACUUCUGGCACAGACAUCUGAGGGCAUGGCCGUCCAAGAAGAAAAUGUAGCCAUUGGUGCCAUCUAUCGACCACAGGUUAAAGAUUGGCGAUCCGUUGGAUACCGACCGAGUUAUAGGCAAAACUUGGUGCAAAAAUGAGCCUUAGUAAAUUUUAAUUUUUUAGAAUUUUUUGAUUUUUUUAUUAUUUUUCACUCUUUUUUUAUUUAAAGCAUUACUUGAGUGAAAAGAAACACAUUGCAACCAAUUGGCAUUAAAAUAAAUCAAUUUAAUUUUUUUUGCAAAAUUUCCCAAAAAAAACGUAAGGGGUAAGCCUUAUGAAAUUUUCGAGAUGAAAAUUUUUGUAAAAUUUUUUUCUGAUUUUUUAUUAUUUUUUUAAUUUGAAGCAUUAUUUGAGUGAAAAGAAACACAUUGCAACAAAUUGGCAUGAAAAUAUAUCACAUUUAUAAAUUUUGCUAAAUUGCUCGAAAAUGAGGAAAAUUUGACAUUUUCUCAAACAGGGUAAGGAACUUAGUUCCUCGAAUAACUUCUGGCACAGACAUCUGAGGGCAUGGCCGUCCAAGAAGAAAAUGUAGCCAUUGGUGCCAUCUAUCGACCACAGGUUAAAGAUUGGCGAUCCGUUGGAUACCGACCGAGUUAUAGGCAAAACUUGGUGCAAAAAUGAGCCUUAGUAAAUUUUAAUUUUUUAGAAUUUUUUGAUUUUUUUAUUAUUUUUCACUCUUUUUUUAUUUAAAGCAUUACUUGAGUGAAAACAAACACAUUGCAACCAAUUGGCAUUAAAAUAAAUCAAUUUCAUUUUUUUUGCAAAAUUUCCCAAAAAAAACGUAAGGGGUAAGCCUUAUGAAAUUUUCGAGUUGAAAAUUUUUGUAAAAUUUUUUUCUGAUUUUUUAUUAUUUUUUUAAUUUGAAGCAUUAUUUGAGUGAAAAGAAACACAUUGCAACAAAUUGGCAUGAAAAUAUAUCACAUUUAUAAAUUUUGCUAAAUUGCUCGAAAAUGAGGAAAAUUUGACAUUUUCUCAAACAGGGUAAGGAACUUAGUUCCUCGAAUAACUUCUGGCACAGACAUCUGAGGGCAUGGCCGUCCAAGAAGAAAAUGUAGCCAUUGGUGCCAUCUAUCGACCACAGGUUAAAGAUUGGCGAUCCGUUGGAUACCGACCGAGUUAUAGGCAAAACUUGGUGCGAAAAUGAGGAAAAUUUUACAUUUUCUCAAACAGGGUAUGGAACUUGGUUCCUCGAAUAACUUCUGGCACAGACAUCUGAGGGCAUGGCCGUCCAAGAAGAAAAUGUAGCCAUUGGUGCCAUCUAUCGACCACAGUUUAAAGUUUGGCGAUCCGUUGGAUACCGACCGAGUUAUAGGCAAAACUUGGUGCAAAAAUGAGCCUUAGUAAAUUUUAAUUUUUUAGAAUUUUUUGAUUUUUUUAUUAUUUCUCACUCUUUUUUUAUUUAAAGCAUUACUUGAGUGAAAAGAAACACAUUGCAACCAAUUGGCAUUAAAAUAAAUCAAUUUAAUUUUUUUUGCAAAAUUUCCCACAAAAAAACGUAAGGGGUAAGCCUUAUGAAAUUUUCGAGUUGAAAAUUUUUUUUUAAUUUUUUUCUGAUUUUUUAUUAUUUUUUUAAUUUGAAGCAUUAUUUGAGUGAAAAGAAACACAUUGCAACAAAUUGGCAUGAAAAUAUAUCACAUUUAUAAAUUUUGCUAAAUUGCUCGAAAAUGAGGAAAAUUUGACAUUUUCUCAAACAGGGUAAGGAACUUAGUUCCUCGAAUAACUUCUGGCACAGACAUCUGAGGGCAUGGCCGUCCAAGAAGAAAAUGUAGCCAUUGGUGUCAUCUAUCGACCACAGGUUAAAGAUUGGCGAUCCGUUGGAUACCGACCGAGUUAUAGGCAAAACUUGGUGCGAAAAUGAGGAAAAUUUGACAUUUUCUCAAACAGGGUAUGGAACUUGGUUCCUCGAAUAACUUCUGGCACAGACAUCUGAGGGCAUGGCCGUCCAAGAAGAAAAUGUAGCCAUUGGUGCCAUCUAUCGACCACAGGUUAAAGAUUGGCGAUCCGUUGGAUACCGACCGAGUUAUAGGCAAAACUUGGUGCAAAAAUGAGCCUUAGUAAAUUUUAAUUUUUUAGAAUUUUUUGAUUUUUUUAUUAUUUCUCACUCUUUUUUUAUUUAAAGCAUUACUUGAGUGAAAAGAAACACAUUGCAACCAAUUGGCAUUAAAAUAAAUCAAUUUAAUUUUUUUUGCAAAAUUUCCCAAAAAAAACGUAAGGGGUAAGCCUUAUGAAAUUUUCGAGAUGAAAAUUUUUGUAAAAUUUUUUUCUGAUUUUUUAUUAUUUUUUUAAUUUGAAGCAUUAUUUGAGUGAAAAGAAACACAUUGCAACAAAUUGGCAUGAAAAUAUAUCACAUUUAUAAAUUUUGCUAAAUUGCUCGAAAAUGAGGAAAAUUUGACAUUUUCUCAAACAGGGUAAGGAACUUAGUUCCUCGAAUAACUUCUGGCACAGACAUCUGAGGGCAUGGCCGUCCAAGAAGAAAAUGUAGCCAUUGGUGCCAUCUAUCGACCACAGGUUAAAGAUUGGCGAUCCGUUGGAUACCGACCGAGUUAUAGGCAAAACUUGGUGCAAAAAUGAGCCUUAGUAAAUUUUAAUUUUUUAGAAUUUUUUGAUUUUUUUAUUAUUUUUCACUCUUUUUUUAUUUAAAGCAUUACUUGAGUGAAAAGAAACACAUUGCAACCAAUUGGCAUUAAAAUAAAUCAAUUUAAUUUUUUUUGCAAAAUUUCCCAAAAAAAACGUAAGGGGUAAGCCUUAUGAAAUUUUCGAGUUGAAAAUUUUUGUAAAAUUUUUUUCUGAUUUUUUAUUAUUUUUUUAAUUUGAAGCAUUAUUUGAGUGAAAAGAAACACAUUGCAACAAAUUGGCAUGAAAAUAUAUCACAUUUAUAAAUUUUGCUAAAUUGCUCGAAAAUGAGGAAAAUUUGACAUUUUCUCAAACAGGGUAAGGAACUUAGUUCCUCGAAUAACUUCUGGCACAGACAUCUGAGGGCAUGGCCGUCCAAGAAGAAAAUGUAGCCAUUGGUGUCAUCUAUCGACCACAGGUUAAAGAUUGGCGAUCCGUUGGAUACCGACCGAGUUAUAGGCAAAACUUGGUGCGAAAAUGAG
This is a long non-coding RNA of Anopheles funestus (African malaria mosquito), 5865 nucleotides long. RefSeq lists it as uncharacterized. The transcript is spliced from 4 exons. The record is from RefSeq and is a predicted model, not a curated record. Lineage: Eukaryota; Metazoa; Arthropoda; Insecta; Diptera; Culicidae.